GCAGGUGAGAGACCCGGACUCGAUCAGCUUCCCAAGCUGAGAACGCGGGUUCGAUUCCCGUCACCCGCUCCA
This 72-nucleotide transfer RNA is filed under the name Acidimicrobiales bacterium. RNAcentral describes it as "tRNA-Ser". It matches the Rfam family "tRNA". Rfam says of the family: Transfer RNA (tRNA) molecules are approximately 80 nucleotides in length. Their secondary structure includes four short double-helical elements and three loops (D, anti-codon, and T loops). Further hydrogen bonds mediate the characteristic L-shaped molecular structure. tRNAs have two regions of fundamental functional importance: the anti-codon, which is responsible for specific mRNA codon recognition, and the 3' end, to which the tRNAs corresponding amino acid is attached (by aminoacyl-tRNA synthetases). tRNAs cope with the degeneracy of the genetic code in two manners: having more than one tRNA (with a specific anti-codon) for a particular amino acid; and 'wobble' base-pairing, i.e. permitting non-standard base-pairing at the 3rd anti-codon position. The record is from RNAcentral. Lineage: Bacteria; Bacillati; Actinomycetota; Acidimicrobiia; Acidimicrobiales.